This 1367-nucleotide long non-coding RNA is filed under the name Citrus maxima (pomelo). RNAcentral's name for it is "long non-coding RNA (CMAX_LNC001092)". Lineage: Eukaryota; Viridiplantae; Streptophyta; Magnoliopsida; Sapindales; Rutaceae. The record is from RNAcentral.
AGUCUUUUUUUUUUUCUGAAAACAGAUACCUGCCAGUGAGUGGUUUGCAUCAUGACAGUAGCAGACUAACAUGCUGAAAGGAUUCUGGCCCUUUUUGACCUGAUGUUUUUGAUGUUGUAAGUCAAGCAGCAGAAUACUUCAAUUAUGAUAGUGUAUGGUGCCCUUUGGAGAUCAGUGGUUAUAAUUAGUUGCCAUGACUUUUGUUGCUAUGGAUAAUGGAACCUUGUCUACAAUGAUUUUCAAGGUUUUAUGAUUAUUAUUUUUCACUUGUUUUGAAUUUUAAUUAUGAUUGAUUAUCUUUUGGCAUUGUCAUGCUUGACUUCAUUACGGAUAAACGAAGUGAACUCACUAGAUUGGUGGUGAUACUAUUAUUUAUUAUCUUGUUAUAUUGGCUGGCUGCUUUUGCCUUGUCAUCUCUUGUCAUACUUUGCACUUCGCCACAAAAUGGAUUUUACAGUCAAGACUAACUUGAGACCGAUUUAUAUAUAUGUGUGUGUGUGUGUGUGUCAUGUUUCCAUGCAUGCGUUUUUCCUUACAAGAUAACGCUAGUGUGGGAAGUUUUUCGAAGUUGGGCCAUUUAACAUUGGCAGCACAAAACUUGUUACCUACACCAAUUAAUCUUUGGAAGAGGAAGGUUGUGAAGGAUCCUGUGCGUAGAAGAUGUCAGAAUGAGAGAUCUCUUUCAAAACUGAACACAAUCUGAACCUUAAAUCGGAUUGGAUUCUGAUGGGAUGAAUAUGUCAGAUUAAUUUGGGAUAGGAUCAGACCAGGUUAAAUUCAAAUGACAAAUAUCAGUUGAAUUUGGGGGGGACGUCGAUGUGGUUACCAAUUGCCAAAGAAGGCUAAGAUUGUCUAGCCAAAUUGUGGGCAAAAGGAGAAUAAUAAGAGCAAUAAUGACAACAGAGCAUUGAUUUCCACCAAGUGUCAAUCCUUCAAGUUUAAUUGCCAUGUCUGGAAAAAGAUUCUCCAACUCCUCUCUUUCGAAGAUCAAGAAUCAAUUAGUAGAGGUGUAUGUUCAUGACAACUGAAACAAUUAGUCUUUCCUUCUUCCCAGAGGCUCGGUGCUGGCUGGUUCGGGAGUUGAUGUGGGUUUGGGGCUGCCGACUACGUUUGUGGCUGCGGGUUUGUGAAUCUGGCCAACGAUGUCAAUGCGGCUGGGUUCGUGGGUUUGGUUGGGUUCGUAGACUUUGUCUAAUUCAAGUUGACAAGUUCUUAUCCGAAUCCAAUCCAAUGCCUAGUCCUAGUAAGCAUGCUCAAAAGGUAUGGAAACUGACCGCUUUUCGUACGGUAAAUGUUGGGUGCACUUCAAGAGCUGGCAACGAGCAGAGCAUCUGAGCAUAUACUUUAGUGUGUCAGUGUAUGGUAGU